CUAUUCCUACGGGAGGCAGCAGUGAGGAAUAUUGGUCAAUGGGCGAGAGCCUGAACCAGCCACGUCGAGUGAGGGAAGACGGUCCUAUGGAUUGUAAACCUCUUUUGUCGGGGAGCAAAAAGGCCUCGUGAGGCCACAAGUGAGAGUACCCGAAGAAAAAGCAUCGGCUAACUCCGUGCCAGCAGCCGCGGUAAUACGGAGGAUGCGAGCGUUAUCCGGAUUUAUUGGGUUUAAAGGGUGCGUAGGCGGGAUGCCAAGUCAGCGGUAAAAAUGCGGUGCUCAACGC
This 286-nucleotide ribosomal RNA is filed under the name uncultured bacterium. RNAcentral's name for it is "partial 16S ribosomal RNA". It matches the Rfam family "Bacterial small subunit ribosomal RNA", at positions 333 to 615 of the family's 1533-position model. The record is from RNAcentral.